RNAcentral lists this ribosomal RNA (253 nucleotides) under uncultured bacterium. RNAcentral's name for it is "partial 16S ribosomal RNA". It matches the Rfam family "Bacterial small subunit ribosomal RNA", at positions 524 to 776 of the family's 1533-position model. The record is from RNAcentral.
UACGAAGGGAGCGAGCGUUGUUCGGAAUCACUGGGCUUAAAGCGUGCGUAGGCGGAAAUGUAAGUCAGAAGUGAAAGCCCAGGGCUUAACCCUGGAACUGCUUUUGAGACUGCAAUUCUAGAAUUCGGUAGAGGCUAGUGGAAUGUCCAGUGUAGAGGUGAAAUUCGCAGAUAUUGGACGGAACACCAGUGGCGAAGGCGACUAGCUGGGCCGAUAUUGACGCUGAGGCACGAAAGCGUGGGUAGCAAACAGG